Pleuronectes platessa (European plaice) is the source of this 863-nucleotide long non-coding RNA. RefSeq lists it as uncharacterized. The record is from RefSeq and is a predicted model, not a curated record. Lineage: Eukaryota; Metazoa; Chordata; Actinopteri; Pleuronectiformes; Pleuronectidae. The transcript has 5 exons.
CGUAAAAACCCUAUUUGUAAACAACCAGCCCUUUAACUCGGGGCUGCGUCAUAAACACGGCGCGCUUGGAAGACCACGAUGUCAUCUUCCUUCUGUCAGGAGGAUCCAAGUGAAGCUACAGGAGUUUCAUUAACGUCAACAACUUGGACCAAACAGUUUGUUUUGCUUGAUGAAGAGCAGGAAGGGCAGCCUGGAGAGAAAGAGAAGCCGGGUUGAGCCCACUACCAUCAUCCACGUACCACGAGGAAGAUGAGGGAGAGAAAUGAUCCUACCAUUAAAGAGACUGUGAAAAGAACGUUGAGAACAUCACCACUCUACAGGAAGACACAGUCCAGUAAUGGGUGUCAGAAGUUCCGUAGUGAACGACAGGUACUGUGGAAAAAUAUGUGUCAUUGUUGUACAAUGUCCUUUGACUCUGUUUAAACAAGGUCAACACAAAAAGGUUUGAUUGUAAACUGAUAUCGGUAUGAAUUCAUGUUAUUCUCCUCGUCAAAAGAAACAAACAAUCCAAAUUACCUGCAGAAAGCCCUUGAUGGACGCUUCAGCUGCAUCGUCAGACUGGCAGUACUGAUGCAUUUACUGAGAGGGGACGUGAGGGCCUACUCUGCGUGCUCAGAGUUCAAGCCCAGCAGGCUGCAGCGGUCCUGACAUAUUCUGGAACAGCAGCACAGUCUUUGGAUGACUCCUCUGAAGAUGAAAACAUGGCGAGUUCUUCUCAAGAGAAGCAGUACAGGUGUGCCUCAGCUCCACGGUCCCUCCUGCAGCCUCCGCUCCUGAUGCUAACCUCAUGUCUCCAUCACACCAAGCAGCAGACCUGGAUUGACAGACCUUUCUCCAGAGCUGCCCCCUCCCUCUGAAACCCC